Molecule: transfer RNA, 72 nt
Filed under: Bacteroidales bacterium
Lineage: Bacteria; Pseudomonadati; Bacteroidota; Bacteroidia; Bacteroidales
Description: tRNA-Glu
Rfam family: tRNA
About the family: Transfer RNA (tRNA) molecules are approximately 80 nucleotides in length. Their secondary structure includes four short double-helical elements and three loops (D, anti-codon, and T loops). Further hydrogen bonds mediate the characteristic L-shaped molecular structure. tRNAs have two regions of fundamental functional importance: the anti-codon, which is responsible for specific mRNA codon recognition, and the 3' end, to which the tRNAs corresponding amino acid is attached (by aminoacyl-tRNA synthetases). tRNAs cope with the degeneracy of the genetic code in two manners: having more than one tRNA (with a specific anti-codon) for a particular amino acid; and 'wobble' base-pairing, i.e. permitting non-standard base-pairing at the 3rd anti-codon position.
Source: RNAcentral
GACCUCUUAGUCAAGCGGUUAAGACUUCGCCCUUUCACGGCGAAGGCACGGGUUCGAAUCCCGUAGAGGUCG